RNAcentral lists this ribosomal RNA (433 nucleotides) under uncultured bacterium. Its description in RNAcentral is "partial 16S ribosomal RNA". It matches the Rfam family "Bacterial small subunit ribosomal RNA", at positions 29 to 507 of the family's 1533-position model. The record is from RNAcentral.
AACGAACGCUGGCGGCAUGCCUAACACAUGCAAGUCGAACGAGACCUUCGGGUCUAGUGGCGCACGGGUGCGUAACGCGUGGGAACCUGCCCUUAGGUUCGGAAUAACUCCCCGAAAGGGGUGCUAAUACCGGAUAAUGUCUUCGGACCAAAGAUUUAUCGCCUUUGGUUGGGCCCGCGUUGGAUUAGCUAGUUGGUAGGGUAGAAGCCUACCAAGGCGACGAUCCAUAGCUGGUCUGAGAGGAUGAUCAGCCACACUGGGACUGAGACACGGCCCAGACUCCUACGGGAGGCAGCAGUGGGGAAUAUUGGACAAUGGGCGAAAGCCUGAUCCAGCAAUGCCGCGUGAGUGAUGAAGGCCUUAGGGUUGUAAAGCUCUUUUACCCGGGAUGAUAAUGACAGUACCGGGAGAAUAAGCUCCGGCUAACUCCGUG